Molecule: ribosomal RNA, 497 nt
Filed under: uncultured bacterium
Lineage: Bacteria
Description: partial 16S ribosomal RNA
Rfam family: Bacterial small subunit ribosomal RNA
Source: RNAcentral
GAUGAACGCUGGCGGCGUGCCUAAUACAUGCAAGUCGAGCGAACAGACGAGGAGCUUGCUCCUCUGACGUUAGCGGCGGACGGGUGAGUAACACGUGGAUAACCUACCUAUAAGACUGGGAUAACUUCGGGAAACCGGAGCUAAUACCGGAUAAUAUAUUGAACCGCAUGGUUCAAUAGUGAAAGACGGUUUUGCUGUCACUUAUAGAUUGAUCCGCGCCGCAUUAGCUAGUUGGUAAGGUAACGGCUUACCAAGGCAACGAUGCGUAGCCGACCUGAGAGGGGGAUCGGCCACACUGGAACUGAGACACGGUCCAGACUCCUACGGGAGGCAGCAGUAGGGAAUCUUCCGCAAUGGGCGAAAGCCUGACGGAGCAACGCCGCGUGAGUGAUGAAGGUCUUCGGAUCGUAAAACUCUGUUAUUAGGGAAGAACAAAUGUGUAAGUAACUAUGCACGUCUUGACGGUACCUAAUCAGAAAGCCACGGCUAACUACGUG